Siniperca chuatsi (mandarin fish) is the source of this 603-nucleotide long non-coding RNA. RefSeq lists it as uncharacterized. Lineage: Eukaryota; Metazoa; Chordata; Actinopteri; Centrarchiformes; Sinipercidae. The transcript has 3 exons. The record is from RefSeq and is a predicted model, not a curated record.
UACACUCAGGCGAGAUCUGCAACCUGUGGUGCAACUACUACGACAUCCAGGACUCUUGGGACAGUGUCCUGGACAUUAUUGACUGGUUCUUUGAGAACCAGGAUGUCCUGAUACCUGCAGCCGGACCUGGAAGGUGGAAUGACCAUGACAUGGAUAAGAGCGGCAUUGAAGUGUUCUGGCGCCCCCUGUCAAGCAAUGCCAGUGCAUUGGUAUUCUUCAGUCAUCGUAAUGACAUGCCCUACCGCUACCAGAGUUCCCUCAGCAAGCUCACCUAUACCACCGGCAGCUACAAGAUCUUUGACAUCUUCACUGAAAGACUGACUUUGUGGUGUCAGUGAACCCCACAGGUGUGGUCAUGUGGUACGUCUCUGCGCUGGCCAAACUGAACAGUCCUAUGAAGAUGGCAAACUUUAGGGAUCUGCAGACGAUGGCGCCAUUCCUCAUGUCCUCCUCUGACUGCUCACUGAACUUCAUCAUCUAAUAAUCACUGUUUCUGCCUCAGUGCACUGUCUCUUGAUAAAGUGUUAACUGAUGAGACCUCACUUAAUAUCAUCAGGUGCUCAAAGGAAUAAUCUGUGACUGUGAAUAAAUGUUCACUUUUCA